UGUCCUAAUGUUUAUAAUUAUAUUAGGUCUAACCUGCUCAAUGAUAAUUUAAAUAGCCGCAGUAUUUUGACUGUGCGAAGGUAGCAUAAUCAUUUGUCUUUUAAUUGAAGGCUUGUAUGAAAGGUUGGAUGAGGGAACAGCUUUCUUUAUAUUAAAUGUUGAAUUUAAUUUUUAGGUUAAAAAGCUUAGAUUUUUAAAAGGGACGAGAAGACCCUAUAGAAUUUUAUUAUUAUUAUAAUAUUUGUAUAUUGGUUAAUAUAAUAUUGAUAUUAUAUAUAUAAUUUUGUUGGGGUGAUAGUGAGAUUUUUUUAACUCUUAUAUUAUAUUUAUUGUUAAUUAGCAUAUUAAUGAUCCUAUUUUAUGGAUAAUUAGAUUAAAUUACCUUAGGGAUAACAGCGUAA
This 401-nucleotide ribosomal RNA is filed under the name Eysarcoris ventralis. RNAcentral's name for it is "partial large subunit ribosomal RNA". The record is from RNAcentral. Lineage: Eukaryota; Metazoa; Arthropoda; Insecta; Hemiptera; Pentatomidae.